This 290-nucleotide unclassified non-coding RNA is filed under the name uncultured Sebacina. RNAcentral's name for it is "sequence contains ITS2". Lineage: Eukaryota; Fungi; Basidiomycota; Agaricomycetes; Sebacinales; Sebacinaceae. The record is from RNAcentral.
AACGCACCUUGCACCCUUUGGUAUUCCGAAGGGUAUGCUCGUUUGAGUGUCAUUGUACUCUCACACUCCCGAUCUUGGUUGGGAGCGGUGGACUUGGGUGCUGCUGCUUACCGUGGCUCACCUCAAAUGGAUUCGUGCAUCUCUUGGUUGGACAUAGUACGGCGUGAUAAGUGUCUUCGCCGGCGCCUCACUUUGAGGGUGGCCGAUCGGGAGCUCUGUGCUUCUAACCGUCCUCGGACAACAACUGACAACUUGACCUCAAAUCGAGUAGGACUACCCGCUGAACUUAA